UAUUCAUCCAGAGCAGCCGAGGGAAUGGCCCUAUGACGCUGCGGCAACCCCCAUAGCGGGAAGGUGCCAAGUCCAACGGAUUUCUAUCCGGCAGAUGAAAU
RNAcentral lists this non-coding RNA (101 nucleotides) under Megasphaera sp. RNAcentral's name for it is "SAM-I sequence". It matches the Rfam family "SAM riboswitch aptamer (S box leader)". Rfam says of the family: The SAM riboswitch is found upstream of a number of genes which code for proteins involved in methionine or cysteine biosynthesis in Gram-positive bacteria. The record is from RNAcentral. Lineage: Bacteria; Bacillati; Bacillota; Negativicutes; Veillonellales; Veillonellaceae.